This 1134-nucleotide ribosomal RNA is filed under the name Arthrobacter woluwensis. RNAcentral describes it as "bacterial SSU rRNA". It matches the Rfam family "Bacterial small subunit ribosomal RNA", at positions 108 to 1255 of the family's 1533-position model. Lineage: Bacteria; Bacillati; Actinomycetota; Actinomycetes; Micrococcales; Micrococcaceae. The record is from RNAcentral.
UGGCGAACGGGUGAAACCUGCCCUUGACUCUGGGAUAAGCCUGGGAAACUGGGUCUAAUACCGGAUACGACCAUUGCCCGCAUGGGUUGGUGGUGGAAAGCUUUUGUGGUUUUGGAUGGACUCGCGGCCUAUCAGCUUGUUGGUGAGGUAAUGGCUCACCAAGGCGACGACGGGUAGCCGGCCUGAGAGGGUGACCGGCCACACUGGGACUGAGACACGGCCCAGACUCCUACGGGAGGCAGCAGUGGGGAAUAUUGCACAAUGGGCGAAAGCCUGAUGCAGCGACGCCGCGUGAGGGAUGACGGCCUUCGGGUUGUAAACCUCUUUCAGUAGGGAAGAAGCGAAAGUGACGGUACCUGCAGAAGAAGCGCCGGCUAACUACGUGCCAGCAGCCGCGGUAAUACGUAGGGCGCAAGCGUUAUCCGGAAUUAUUGGGCGUAAAGAGCUCGUAGGCGGUUUGUCGCGUCUGCUGUGAAAGGCCAGGGCUCAACCCUGGUUCUGCAGUGGGUACGGGCAGACUUGAGUGAUGUAGGGGAGACUGGAAUUCCUGGUGUAGCGGUGAAAUGCGCAGAUAUCAGGAGGAACACCGAUGGCGAAGGCAGGUCUCUGGGCAUUAACUGACGCUGAGGAGCGAAAGCAUGGGGAGCGAACAGGAUUAGAUACCCUGGUAGUCCAUGCCGUAAACGUUGGGCACUAGGUGUGGGGGACAUUCCACGUUUUCCGCGCCGUAGCUAACGCAUUAAGUGCCCCGCCUGGGGAGUACGGCCGCAAGGCUAAAACUCAAAGGAAUUGACGGGGGCCCGCACAAGCGGCGGAGCAUGCGGAUUAAUUCGAUGCAACGCGAAGAACCUUACCAAGGCUUGACAUGGACUGGAUCGCAUCAGAGAUGGUGUUUCCCUUCGGGGCUGGUUCACAGGUGGUGCAUGGUUGUCGUCAGCUCGUGUCGUGAGAUGUUGGGUUAAGUCCCGCAACGAGCGCAACCCUCGUUCCAUGUUGCCAGCGCGUAAUGGCGGGGACUCAUGGGAGACUGCCGGGGUCAACUCGGAAGAAGGUGGGGACGACGUCAAAUCAUCAUGCCCCUUAUGUCUUGGGCUUCACGCAUGCUACAAUGGCCGGUACAAAGGGUUGCAAAAC